UCUGGCGGCAGUAGCGCGGUAGUCCCCACCUGACCCCAUGCCGAGCUCAGAAGUGAAACACCGUAGCGCCGAUGGUAGUGUAAGUGCUCCCCAUGCGAAAGGUAGGAACUGCCGGAA
RNAcentral lists this ribosomal RNA (117 nucleotides) under Salmonella enterica subsp. enterica. Lineage: Bacteria; Pseudomonadati; Pseudomonadota; Gammaproteobacteria; Enterobacterales; Enterobacteriaceae. The record is from RNAcentral.